RNAcentral lists this ribosomal RNA (373 nucleotides) under uncultured bacterium. RNAcentral describes it as "bacterial SSU rRNA". It matches the Rfam family "Bacterial small subunit ribosomal RNA", at positions 521 to 896 of the family's 1533-position model. The record is from RNAcentral.
UAAUACGGAGGAUCCAAGCGUUAUCCGGAUUUAUUGGGUUUAAAGGGUGCGUAGGCGGCUUAGUAAGUCAGGGGUGAAAGACGGUGGCUCAACCAUCGCAGUGCCUUUGAUACUGCUGAGCUAGAAUGUAGAUGAAGUAGGCGGAAUGUGACAAGUAGCGGUGAAAUGCAUAGAUAUGUCACAGAACUCCAAUUGCGAAGGCAGCUUACUAAGGUACAAUUGACGCUGAUGCACGAAAGCGUGGGGAUCAAACAGGAUUAGAUACCCUGGUAGUCCACGCCCUAAACGAUGAAUACUCGAUGUUGGCGAUAUACAGUCAGCGUCUAAGCGAAAGCGUUAAGUAUUCCACCUGGGGAGUACGCCCGCAAGGGUG